AUUGAACGCUGGCGGCAGGCCUAACACAUGCAAGUCGAGCGGAUGAAGGGAGCUUGCUCCUAGAUUCAGCGGCGGACGGGUGAGUAAUGCCUAGGAAUCUGCCUGGUAGUGGGGGAUAACGUCCGGAAACGGGCGCUAAUACCGCAUACGUCCUGAGGGAGAAAGUGGGAGAUCUUCGGACCUCACGCUAUCAGAUGAGCCUAGGUCGGAUUAGCUAGUUGGUGGGGUAAAGGCCUACCAAGGCGACGAUCCGUAACUGGUCUGAGAGGAUGAUCAGUCACACUGGAGCUGAGACACGGUCCAGACUCCUACGGGAGGCAGCAGUGGGGAAUAUUGGACAAUGGGCGAAAGCCUGAUCCAGCCAUGCCGCGUGUGUGAAGAAGGUCUUCGGAUUGUAAAGCACUUUAAGUUGGGAGGAAGGGCAGUAAGUUAAUACCUUGCUGUUUUGACGUUACCAACAGAAUAAGCACCGGCUAACUUCGUG
This 484-nucleotide ribosomal RNA is filed under the name uncultured bacterium. RNAcentral describes it as "partial 16S ribosomal RNA". It matches the Rfam family "Bacterial small subunit ribosomal RNA", at positions 30 to 507 of the family's 1533-position model. The record is from RNAcentral.